ACACUUACCUGGAGGAGUACGGGGCCUACCUUUUCUGCCCGGAAGGGACCCCCAAAAUGGUUCAAAACAGCGUGUCGAAGGCCAGCCGAGCAAAGGUGUUCCUGAAAUACCUGACGCUCGGCUGGCCUUCGAUCAAAUAUUGGAGUUGGGAGUUUUUGUUCAACAUCCCCCUCAUAAAGACCUACCCUGCUGCCCUGAGAGCGGCUGGCCUGGCCCCGACAACCAUCGUGUUAUACGUGGGCCAGGCCAUCUCCUUUUUGGAAUAUUUCCGGGACACCCCAGCUAAAUACUCCCGGGUGACCAACGGCCAGCUGGUCAUGGUCACCCGGGAGUUAAGGAAGCUAUUGAAGGACUUGAACCGGAACGUCCUUGGCCACCAGUCCCUGGUGAAACAGGGCAAACUAUUGAGACUGGUGGCCAAGGAGGACCUGGCCAAGUGCCAGGUGAUGGCCAAAGAAAAGAUCCCCUCUCUCCUCGCGGACAUGAAAGCGGCGCCCCCCAGGGACCCAAAGACCCGGUACCGGUUCUUUGGGUACCUGGUGGCCUACCUUUCCUCAAUCUACGGGCACAGGUCGGGGGUGCUGACCCGGAUGAGGGUCAGGGAGGUGCAGGACGCGAUCGGGGACGAGGACAAGGGCUACCUCAUUAAUGUCAUGGAGCACAAGACGGUGCGUAAAUUUGGGGUGGCCCAGGUGUACCUCGAGGCCGGCGAGUACGCCUGGUGCCGGGAGUGGCUCCGCCUGCGGCUGCGCUCCGUGCCACAAAACAAGUUUUUUUUUACGUCCUUCGGCAAGGGGGAGCCGAAGGACCUGAUUAAAUAUUUUCGACGAGCUUGGGGGGAGAUGGGCCUCCCCGGCUCCCCGAGUCUAAUGGACAUCAGGUCGGCCGUGGCCACAUACAACUUUGAGACCAACGACGCCGAGGUACGCAGGAGCCUAGGGGACUUCAUGUGCCACGACAUCAGGACCCAGGAGCGCUUCUACGCGCUCCAUAAGAACCUUUCAAGGGCGAAGCAGAUGAGGGACCUCUUCGUCCGCCUUGCGCAGCGAGAGCCCUCAUCUGCUUCCUCCUCCUCCGAUCCUGCUGCAGGCUCCUCCUCCUCCUCCGCUCCUGCUGCAGGCUCCUCCUCCUCCGCUCCUCACGCAGGCUGCUCCUCCUCCUCCUCUGCUCCUGCUGCAGGCUCCUCCUCCUCCCCCGCUGCUCCUGGCUCCGUGAGGAGGAGGCUUCGGCCAUCUGCCACGCAGAGGAUGGCCCAGAGGGUGAAGGAGAAAAGGGGGAUUUCUCCAAAAAAGAGUUGCCGCGUGUUCAUCAAGAGACUGUGAACCCUUCCUGACCCCAGUUCACUUGCCUGUUCACUUGUAUAUACUGUAGUAGUUCAUUUGUUCAUCUUGUUUCAUGUUCAUGUUCAUGUUGUUGUUUCAUUUGUUCAUAUUUAUUUAUGUUCUGUUCUGUUCUUUUUUCUAAUAAGUAAAA
Molecule: long non-coding RNA, 1473 nt
Organism: Gadus morhua (Atlantic cod)
Lineage: Eukaryota; Metazoa; Chordata; Actinopteri; Gadiformes; Gadidae
Source: Ensembl